CAUGGCUUUGCUACUCUGGGUCUCCUGUGUUUUAUUUGGCAGGUUAUUGGGCAGAGUCUCUGGUGUUGGGGGUCGCAUGUGGGCUUCCAAUUUCUCCCAAAAUGAGGCAAAGAUUGUGUUCAGCCGGAGCUCCGUUUCCUUCCAUGCACUGCAUAGGCUGGCAGUGUGGCGGGCAUCCGCCAUCUUGAGGGCCUCGCUGGAAGUAGGC
Molecule: non-coding RNA, 208 nt
Organism: Pelobates cultripes (western spadefoot toad)
Lineage: Eukaryota; Metazoa; Chordata; Amphibia; Anura; Pelobatidae
Source: the annotation of a GenBank genome assembly